GGAGAGAUGGCUCAGUGGUUAAGAGCACUGACUGUUCUUCCCAAGGUCCUGAGUUCAAGUCCCAGCAUCCACA
Molecule: transfer RNA, 73 nt
Filed under: Mus musculus (house mouse)
Lineage: Eukaryota; Metazoa; Chordata; Mammalia; Rodentia; Muridae
Description: tRNA-Asn
Source: RNAcentral